Molecule: ribosomal RNA, 494 nt
Filed under: uncultured bacterium
Lineage: Bacteria
Description: partial 16S ribosomal RNA
Rfam family: Bacterial small subunit ribosomal RNA
Source: RNAcentral
GACGAACGCUGGCGGCGUGCUUAACACAUGCAAGUCGAACGGUGAAGCGCCUUCCUUUUUGGUGGGUGUGGAUGAGUGGCGAACGGGUGAGUAACACGUGAGUAACCUGCCCCCUUCUUCUGGAUAACCGCAUGAAAGUGUGGCUAAUACGGGAUAUUCUGGGUCUGUCGCAUGAUGGGUCUGGGAAAGAUAUUGUUUCGGUGGGGGAUGGGCUCGCGGCCUAUCAGCUUGUUGGUGGGGUGAUGGCCUACCAAGGCGGUGACGGGUAGCCGGCCUGAGAGGGUGGACGGUCACACUGGGACUGAGACACGGCACAGACUCGUACGGGAGGCAGCAGUGGGGAAUAUUGCACAAUGGGCGCAAGCCUGAUGCAGCGACGCCGCGUGAGGGAUGGAGGCCUUCGGGUUGUGAACCUCUUUCGCCAGUGAAGCAGGCCUGCCUCGUUUGUGGGUGGGUUGACGGUAGCUGGAGAAGAAGCGCCGGCUAACUACGUG